ACGGGUGAGUAAUGCAUAGGAAUCUGCCUUGAAGUGGGGGAUAACCUGAGGAAACUUGGGCUAAGACCGCAUAAACUCUGAGGAGGAAAGCUAGGGGUAACUCUGGUGCUUUGAGAUGAGCCUAUGUCUGAUUAGCUAGUUGGUGGGGUAAAGGCCUACCAAGGCGACGAUCGGUAACUGGUCUGAGAGGACGGACAGUCACACUGGGACUGAGACACGGCCCAGACUCCUACGGGAGGCAGCAGUGGGGAAUAUUGGACAAUGGGGGCAACCCUGAUCCAGCGAUGCCGCGUGUGUGAAGAAGGCCUGCGGGUUGUAAAGCACUUUUAUUGGGGAAGAUGGUGUUUGUGGUGCAUAGCCAUGGACAUUGACGGUACCUGAGGAAUAAGCACCGGCUAACUCUGUGCCAGCAGCCGCGGUAAUACAGAGGGUGCGAGCGUUAAUCGGAAUUACUGGGCGUAAAGGGCGCGUAGGUGGAUGUAUAAGUCAGAUGUGAAAGUCCUGGGCUUAACCUGGGGAUUGCAUUUGAUACUGUAUAUCUGGAGUGAAGUAGAGGGUAGCGGAAUUUCCGGUGUAGC
Molecule: ribosomal RNA, 578 nt
Filed under: uncultured bacterium
Lineage: Bacteria
Description: bacterial SSU rRNA
Rfam family: Bacterial small subunit ribosomal RNA
Source: RNAcentral